Molecule: ribosomal RNA, 403 nt
Filed under: uncultured Acetobacterium sp.
Lineage: Bacteria; Bacillati; Bacillota; Clostridia; Eubacteriales; Eubacteriaceae
Description: bacterial SSU rRNA
Rfam family: Bacterial small subunit ribosomal RNA
Source: RNAcentral
GGGGAAUAUUGCGCAAUGGGGGAAACCCUGACGCAGCAAUACCGCGUGAGUGAAGAAGGUUUUCGGAUCGUAAAGCUCUGUUAUUGGGGAAGAAAAAAAGACGGUACCCAAGAAGAAAGUCCCGGCUAACUACGUGCCAGCAGCCGCGGUAAUACGUAGGGGACAAGCGUUGUCCGGAUUUACUGGGCGUAAAGGGCACGCAGGCGGUUUUUUAAGUCAGAUGUGAAAGGUACCGGCUCAACCGGUGACAUGCAUUUGAAACUGAAAGACUUGAGUAUUGGAGAGGCAAGUGGAAUUCCAGGUGUAGGAGUGAAAUCCGUAGAUAUCUGGAGGAACAUCAGUGGCGAAGGCGGCCACCUGGACCGGUAUUGACGCUGAGGUGCGAAAGCGUGGGGAGCAAACA